UUACAUUGAUAAGAAAACACAGCUCCGUGGGGGUGGGGGAAGACAUACAAAAAGAGUAGUUCAGUGUUGAGGAGAAUAGUUCAGGCUCAGAGGGCCUGAGUGUAAUCCUUAGUAAUUUAAAAAAGGGGUGUGCGGGGCUGGGGAUUUAGCUCAGUGGUACAGCGCUUACCUAGGAAGCGCAAGGCCCUGGGUUCGGUCCCCAGCUCCGAAAAAAAGAACCAAAAAAAAAAGGGGGGGGGUGUGGGAGAGCACAAUGUAAUCUCAGUGCUGGGUAGGCAGGCAGGUAAUCUCUGGGUCUCACUGACUGGACACAUAGCCUAUGUGGUAAGUUCAGGGCCAGAACGUGAACCCACUUCAGUCAGUCAACAGUAAAUAGAUUUGGAUGGCACCUGCACCUAAGGUUGUCCUCUGACUUCCACAUACAUACACUAGCACACGCAUGCACGCACA
RNAcentral lists this long non-coding RNA (450 nucleotides) under Rattus norvegicus (Norway rat). Its description in RNAcentral is "long non-coding RNA NONRATT021343". The record is from RNAcentral. Lineage: Eukaryota; Metazoa; Chordata; Mammalia; Rodentia; Muridae.